This 497-nucleotide ribosomal RNA is filed under the name uncultured bacterium. RNAcentral's name for it is "partial 16S ribosomal RNA". It matches the Rfam family "Bacterial small subunit ribosomal RNA", at positions 28 to 507 of the family's 1533-position model. The record is from RNAcentral.
GAUGAACGCUGGCGGCGUGCCUAAUACAUGCAAGUCGAGCGAGCAGACGAGGAUCUUGCGCCUCUGACGUUAUCGGCGGACGGGUGAUUCACACGUGGAUAACCUACCUAUAAGACUGGGAUAACUUCGGGAAACCGGAGCUAAUACCGGAUAAUAUAUUGAACCACAUUGUUCAAUAGUGAAAGACGGUUUUGCUGUGACUUAUAGAUUGAUCCGCGCCGCAUGAGCUAGUUGGUAAGGUAACGGCUUACCAAGGCGACGAUGCGUAUCCGACCUCAGAGGGUGGACGGCCACACUGGAAGUGAGACACGGUCGCGACUCCGGCGGGAGGCAGCAGUAGAGAAUCUUCCGCAAUGGGCGAAAGCCUGACGGAGCAACGCCGCGUGAGUGAUGAAGGUCUUCGGAUCGGAAAGCUAUGAUAGUAGGGAAGAACAAAAGUGUAAGCAGCUAUGCACGUAUUGACGGUACCUAAUCAAGAAGCCACGGCUAACUACGUG